This 78-nucleotide microRNA precursor is filed under the name Schistosoma mattheei. RNAcentral's name for it is "mir-3492 microRNA precursor family". It matches the Rfam family "mir-3492 microRNA precursor family". Lineage: Eukaryota; Metazoa; Platyhelminthes; Trematoda; Strigeidida; Schistosomatidae. The record is from Rfam by way of RNAcentral.
AGCUUUCCGAAUCCGUGCUGGGAUUUCGUCAGGUACCAACCCAUUACUGCUGAUCAGGCUUCUAAGGUAAGUGAAGUU